Molecule: ribosomal RNA, 906 nt
Filed under: Triticum aestivum (bread wheat)
Lineage: Eukaryota; Viridiplantae; Streptophyta; Magnoliopsida; Poales; Poaceae
Description: partial small subunit ribosomal RNA
Source: RNAcentral
AUGACGGACGCGAUAGCAAAGUUCUGGUGGGGUGAUGAUGACAACCACAAGCGGAUUCAUUGGGCCGCAUGGUGGAAACUCUAUGUGCCUAAGGACAGAGGAGGACUGGGGUUCAGGGAUUUUCAUAGCUUUAACCUUGCCCUACUUGCUAAACAAGUGUGGAGGUUGCUGGAAAACCCUGAGUCUCUCUGUGCGCAGAUUUUGAGGGCCAAAUAUUAUCAGGAUGGAAAGUUACUAGAUGCUAAGUUAAAAAGUGGGAGUUCAUAUACAUGGCAGAGUAUUUGUGCUGGUAUUAAUACGUUCAGGAGAGGAGCAAUUUGGCGCAUAGGAGAUGGGUCACAAGUGAAUAUAUGGUCUUACCCUUGGAUUCAAACGAGUGUGGAUGGACGAAUUAUUACACCAAGAGGUACGACCUUACUGACCAAGGUUUCAGAGUUGAUCGACCCUGUCACCGGCCUAUGGGACCAUGAGCUGAUCAAUAAUGUGUUCUGGCCGGUUGAUGCCCAUCGAAUCUUGUCAAUACCUUUGGCGCCGAAUGGCAUGAUGGAUGAUUUCGUGGCUUGGAGAUUUACAAGGAACCAUAUCUUCUCGGUAAGAUCUGCUUACUACAUAGAGUGGGAUCAUCAAUUUGCUCGCUGGUACGAGAGAACAGAGGGAUAACCAUCACAACGGCACCCGGUUUGGGCAAAUUUGUGGAGCUCCCAAGUCCCAGCGAAGAUAAAGAUCCACGCUUGGAGGAUCCUACAUGGUUUUAUUCCAUGUCGCGGGGUUCUGGUGAACCGGCAUAUUGGCACGGAUGAUAGCUGCGCCAUGUGUGCAGGUGGAUUUGAGGACAUCAUGCACUCACUGUUUACAUGCCCGAGAGCAGCGGAAAUUUGGAGAUGCCUGAAGCUAGACAGAUUCAUU